CAAGUCGAGGGGAAACGAUAGAGAAAGCUUGCUUUUUCUAGGCGUCGACCGGCGCACGGGUGAGUAACGCGUAUCCAACCUGCCAACACUUGGGGAUAACCUUGCGAAAGUAAGACUAAAUACCCAAUGACGUCUCUAGAAGACAUCUGAAAGAGAUUAAAGAUUUAUCGGUGAUGGAUGGGGAUGCGUCUGAUUAGCUUGUUGGCGGGGUAACGGCCCACCAAGGCGACGAUCAGUAGGGGUUCUGAGAGGAAGGUCCCCCACAUUGGAACUGAGACACGGUCCAAACUCCUACGGGAGGCAGCAGUGAGGAAUAUUGGUCAAUGGACGAGAGUCUGAACCAGCCAAGUAGCGUGCAGGAAGACGGCCCUAUGGGUUGUAAACUUCUUUUAUAUGGGAAUAAAGUUGUCCACGUGUGGAUUUUUGUAUGUACCAUAUGAAUAAGGAUCGGCUAACUCCGUG
Molecule: ribosomal RNA, 462 nt
Filed under: uncultured bacterium
Lineage: Bacteria
Description: bacterial SSU rRNA
Rfam family: Bacterial small subunit ribosomal RNA
Source: RNAcentral